Molecule: long non-coding RNA, 425 nt
Organism: Prionailurus viverrinus (fishing cat)
Lineage: Eukaryota; Metazoa; Chordata; Mammalia; Carnivora; Felidae
Exons: 3
Source: RefSeq, a predicted model, not a curated record
UGGGCGGGCGGAGCCUUGUGGCCUGGAGUAGUGAAGUCGCCCCGCAGGUUUCCCAAGUCUCGCGUGAUCACGUGGUGGCCCCCACAGGCGGAAGUGUCUGACAGCUCUUUUGGGAUAAGGGGCUUUUAAAGUAUUGCUGGAAACGACGAAUUUUGAGAGACACGCGGAAUGUAGUCUGGACAAGUGAAGGAGUUUAUCCUCAUAAAGCAAAACGAAAUGUCACAGUUAUAUGCCUCUGAAUGCAGAUUUGGAGAAUAUCAAAGGCAGCUUACCAGAGAGGAAAAUAUGCGACCUGCCAGGACCUGAAGGAAGAACUUAGAGAAAGCAGAGCCAUUAAUACUCAGAAAAUGGGAAGUUGUCGAUCAUGUUGAACAGUGGAGCGGAACAAGUAGAAAUUAGAACAUAUUUCUGAACUGAGUUCACCA